UUGGUUCGCCGAGGGUAAAACCGGGGCGAUAAUAGGGAAUCAGGUGAAAGGCCUGAACAGACCCGCUACUGUAUGUUCUAUCAAAACUGAACGGACACACCAGCAGAAAUGCCACUGACGGUCACAGACCGAUUGGGAAGGCAGUCCGUGAAGGGAACGAGUCAGGAGACCUGCCAUGCAUAA
RNAcentral lists this non-coding RNA (183 nucleotides) under human gut metagenome. The record is from RNAcentral.